GGGGAAUUUUGGACAAUGGGCGAAAGCCUGAUCCAGCAAUGCCGCGUGUGUGAAGAAGGCCUUCGGGUUGUAAAGCACUUUUGUCCGGAAAGAAAUCCUUGGCUCUAAUACAGUCGGGGGAUGACGGUACCGGAAGAAUAAGCACCGGCUAACUACGUGCCAGCAGCCGCGGUAAUACGUAGGGUGCGAGCGUUAAUCGGAAUUACUGGGCGUAAAGCGUGCGCAGGCGGUUUGCUAAGACCGAUGUGAAAUCCCCGGGCUCAACCUGGGAACUGCAUUGGUGACUGGCAGGCUAGAGUAUGGCAGAGGGGGGUAGAAUUCCACGUGUAGCAGUGAAAUGCGUAGAGAUGUGGAGGAAUACCGAUGGCGAAGGCAGCCCCCUGGGCCAAUACUGACGCUCAUGCACGAAAGCGUGGGGAGCAAACAGGAUUAGAUACCCUGGUAGUCCACGCCCUAAACGAUGUCAACUAGUUGGUGGGGAUUCAUUUCCUUAGUAACGUAGCUAACGCGUGAAGUUGACCGCCUGGGGAGUACGGUCGCAAGAUUAAAACUCAAAGGAAUUGACGGGGACCCGCACAAGCGGUGGAUGAUGUGGAUUAAUUCGAUGCAACGCGAAAAACCUUACCUACCCUUGACAUGGUCGGAAUCCUGCUGAGAGGCGGGAGUGCUCGAAAGAGAACCGGCGCACAGGUGCUGCAUGGCUGUCGUCAGCUCGUGUCGUGAGAAU
This 727-nucleotide ribosomal RNA is filed under the name Burkholderia cepacia. RNAcentral's name for it is "bacterial SSU rRNA". It matches the Rfam family "Bacterial small subunit ribosomal RNA", at positions 356 to 1074 of the family's 1533-position model. The record is from RNAcentral. Lineage: Bacteria; Pseudomonadati; Pseudomonadota; Betaproteobacteria; Burkholderiales; Burkholderiaceae.